ACACGGUUGUGCUUCCUCUCACAGGUCCUGGCAGUCUGUAACUUUUGAAAGACAGCCCGCCUCCUUCAUCCGAAUCGUGGGAACGCACAACACAGCAAAUGAGGUGUUCCACUGUGUCCACUUUGAGUGUCCGGAGCAGCAGAGCAGCCAGAAGGAGGAGAGCAGCGAGGAGUCGGGGCCAGGGGAGCCCAGCCUGGCCGGUCCGCAGCUCGACCCCCACGCCCUGCAGGCCCCCAGCGGCAGCUCCCUGCCUUCCAGCCCCCGCUCCGCCUCGCGCUCCCCCAACCGGCAGCACCAGUAAAGGGGGCGCCGACGUGGAGGCACACGGGUGGGCCCCGAGGGCAGGGGCCAGGACUGGCGUCCUCCCAGGAGGGAUCUCUGUUGACCGCCCGUCUCCCUUCCUGGGAGGAGCAGAUGGGGCUGCAAAAACGGACACAGAACAGGCUUUCUCCCAAGGACGGAAAGGGGCUGCUUUGUUCUCCUCAAUUUGUUCAAAUCAGGCUGGUCUCCAGGGGGAGAAAAUGGGUCUUCAAUCUUCAUCAAGUCCACCAUUAACACCCUACCUCUCUCAUCUCACCUGGGCCAAGGGGACAGAAGGCGGCGUAGCCGGGCCGUGUCGGAAUACCGAAAGGGGCCCGAGCUCCAGGGCAGGACAACACGUGAGGCCUCUAUUACCUGCAGGUGCCCCUUAGGAAGUGGGUUUCCGUAGAGUGGUUACUUUUAUGGAACACACGGCCCUGGCAACUAAGUGAUUUUUCUUUCUUUUAGUUAUUGUCCAUUUGCUGAAUCAUAGGUGUUCCAGAUCUUGAAAUGUUCAAACAGCAAAUCACUUGUUUAAUCCCUUUUGACCCUGUAAUUUUCCUUCCCUAGUUUUGAACGGCUAAGCCUGGGGCGGAGCGGGCGGUGCUGUGCUCGGCUCCUAAAUGAGGCACCGAGGCGGCGUCAGGGCACCCGGUCUGACGAGGAAAAUCCUCCGAGGAAGUUCAACCAAAUACAGAAUGAGCAAAUCAGUCCGAGGACACUGGAGUUAAUAACCGCUCGAAUUCCUGAGUUAUUAACCUGUCAUUCCUGAAGCGUCUGCAGCCUUUGAGCUCGGGAGGCUGACGAGGAAACAGUGGCUUUGCCACCUGCUGACUUCCUGCUCCGAAGUCUGUCGGUGUAUCUGUAAGUCUGCGCUGCUUCCGGUUGGGCCGAGCACGGCCCUGAAUCACCACCGGUUAGCUGGCCGUGGGGACGGCGGCACUUCCGGCGGCCCGUGUCAGGAACACGAAACUGGGGCUCUGCAGCGAGGGCUUGCUGUGUUUCGCCCCCAGACCCAACUGCCCGGCCGGGGUUUGGAAGGCGCCGCAGCUGUGAGAAGCUUUUCUCAUCCUCGUCCAGCCGAUGCCCCGUGGCUGCCGUGGCCACCGUGGCUGCCGUGGCCGGGUGCGGCUCUGCUGUGCCCGGCGCGCACUGCGCUGGGGUCCGCCCAGCUCGGGGGACCCCGGCCCCGCUGAGCGCCGGCCCUCCGGCCCCGG
RNAcentral lists this long non-coding RNA (1517 nucleotides) under Ursus americanus (American black bear). Its description in RNAcentral is "lncRNA (ENSUAMG00000001733.1)". Lineage: Eukaryota; Metazoa; Chordata; Mammalia; Carnivora; Ursidae. The record is from RNAcentral.